UACGGACUUAAAAUCC
RNAcentral lists this transfer RNA (16 nucleotides) under Galium mollugo. RNAcentral describes it as "partial tRNA-Leu". The record is from RNAcentral. Lineage: Eukaryota; Viridiplantae; Streptophyta; Magnoliopsida; Gentianales; Rubiaceae.